Oryctolagus cuniculus (rabbit) is the source of this 663-nucleotide non-coding RNA. The record is from RefSeq and is a predicted model, not a curated record. NCBI's taxonomy places the organism in Eukaryota, Metazoa, Chordata, Mammalia, Lagomorpha, Leporidae.
AUGGUGUUUAUGCCAGCGCCGGGAGUCCGCCGGAUACUGGCGACGGAGAGGUAGCAGAACGCCGUGUCUGUUGACUGUCUAGGAAACAACCCCUUGAAUCGGGACAAACAGAAAGCAAAGGCUACCCACCUACGGCGUUCCAUGAUAGCGCGUAGACUGGGCCAGGCGAGGGGAAAGGCACACGGGUGAACGUGGACAGACCACUGCACGGAACCGGGCACUCUCGUGGGGAAAACAAGCAGGUUCUUGGAAAAGCUGUAGCUCAAAAUAAAUCAUCACAAGGUUCAGGCUUCAGAUCUGGUUCUCUAGAUGAACAGAGGAGUGGCUCCCCCCGCCCCCCGAGGCUGGGGCAGCCUGACAUAAAACAGUCAUUGCAGACUGUAGGUACAGAAAUGUGCGGUGGCCGGCAUUAAAGCGCCCUUUGUAAUUCCAAGGCUAGAUGGAGGAAUGCUUUCAUGGGAAAUCCAGCCAAGUCUCCCAGCUGUGUUUUCAGACCUCUAAGUUCAAGGAGAAGAGGAUGAUGGAUCCCAGGCUGCCUCCCGCCCUGCAUCCCAAGCCAUCAGCGCUAGUCCCUACAUCAUUUGGAAUCAUCUACCACUCUUCCCGCUCGGAAAGCACGAAUCACUCCCACGGUUCCUCAACAGUCCCUCACUUACCUCUGAG